UUCUUGUUUAUUUAAUGUAUUAGCUGCAAUUCCAAUCGUAUUGUGUUCUAUUGCAUUCUCUCACACUGUGCUCUAAUAUUUAGUGAAUUAAUUUUCUCCCUUAGCUCGUUGCUGCUGUUUUGUUUUUAGACCCAUCACAGGGUCCCCCUGUGCCAUUUAGUCAAGGAACCAGGUCGAACCAGGCCAGAACUGUGACAGUGCUGUAUCUGAAUAACUGGGUAAAAGGCACAAGGUGCACUGAGCAGGACUUCUGCUCCACCAUACGUUUUUGUUGAGUUUGUAAUAUAGAGCUGGUUGUAUUGAAGUGGAGCUUAAUUGUAACUUUCCUAAAAUCAGAAUGCUGUAAUGUUGUAAUUCCAAAGAUGUUCACUAGAUGUUUCCCAUUUACGAGUAUUUAUAGCUGACCUACUCUUACUGAUUCCUCACUAAUUUUGUAUUUACUUUUUUUCUUUAAAAGAUAUAAUUCUUAGGUGAGAAGAUGAAAAAUUCAUUGUACUCUGCGGAGAAGAAAGACAAUUUUCUUUGUAUGAAUGGCAGAACAGCCCCAUGGCAAGACUUGUCGGAUGAGCUGCAUUUAAGCUACAGCCAACAGUACCUCCUUGCAGGUCCACGCACUGGAGAUAACAGAGGUCCUUGCUGUGAAGAAAGGGGAAUAGAGAUGCAAGGGAAUGAUGCAGCUGAAAAGAAGUACAAUGGCAAACUUUUUUCACAGAACAAUGAUUAAUCAGUUUGCUCUCUUCAAUUUAUGAAUCAUCUGGAAGUGGGCUUUGCCACAGUGUAUGCUCGAUCUGUGAGUUGCUUUUGAGUUAAUUACUAUGACUAUCAGCCUUUCUGUUAAUUUGUAAUGUGUAAUAAUCCAAAUCACCUGUGUGAUAUCUUUUCCUUGGUUCAAAGAUUCAUUAAUCCCACAAAUGACUUUCACUAUAAAUGUGAGUACGCUGAUAUAACUUUCUGUUCACAAAUCUAUGUUCAGAGAAUAGAAGUAGUCCUAUCUUAAUUUUUUUCUGCUUACAAACUGCCAUAGAGUGUGCUUUCAAAUUUACAUGAAAAGAACAUGAACAAUGUAUUGAAGGAGAAUUUACAGACAUACAGAUAUCAUUGUGCAAUAUUUGCCCACGUUUAAAGUGUUUGUAUAAGUACCAAACAUGAGGAAGAAUCAGAAACUCAUUAACAGAAUUUCAUGUACAUUUAAUGUAAACACUAUCUACUAAAGUCUCCAAUUAGGAGAGCAUAACAUGGUUAAUGUAUGUGACUCAGCUGAAUCCCAGUGUUAAACGUGCUGUGAUUAAGUAAUGGAUGGCUUUUGGGAAAUGAAUUGAUGGUCUCAGGCUUGAUCCUG
RNAcentral lists this long non-coding RNA (1339 nucleotides) under Phasianus colchicus (ring-necked pheasant). Its description in RNAcentral is "lncRNA (ENSPCLG00000013618.1)". The record is from RNAcentral. Lineage: Eukaryota; Metazoa; Chordata; Aves; Galliformes; Phasianidae.